UCGGUAAUUCCAGCUCCAAUAGUGUAUAUUAAAGUUGUUGCAGUUAAAAAGCUCGUAGUUGAACUUCUGGCAGUGUGCAGAUAUGGCUACGGUCAGUCUGUUCGCUGUCAUCCGUCUGCAAACCUCGUACGUCCUUGAGUGGUUCGGCGAGGGGAGUAGACAUUUUACUUUGAAAAAAUUAGAGUGUUUCAAGCAGGCUUUUGCCAGAAUACUUUAGCAUGGAAUAAUGGAAUAGGACUUCUGUCCAUUUGGUUGGUUAUUGGCCAGGAGUAAUGAUUAAUAGGGACAGUUGGGGGCAUUAGUAUUUAAUUGUCAGAGGUGAAAUUCAUGGAUUUAUUAAAGACUAACUUAUGCGAAAGCAUUUGCCAAGGAUGUUUUCAUUAAUCAAGAACGAAAGUUAGGGGAUCAAAGACGAUCAGAUACCGUCCUAGUCUUAACUAUAAACGAUGUCGACUCGGGAUUGGAAGGGUUCCUUUUAUCCCUUCCAGCACCGUAUGAGAAAUCAUUAAGUCUUUGGAUUCUGGGGGGAGUAUGGUCGCAAGGCUGAAACUUAAAGGAAUUGACGGAAGAGCACCACCAGGCGUGGGACCUGCGGCUUAAUUUGACAACACAGGAAAACUUAUUUCAGCAAAACAUGAGUGGGAUUGACAGAUUGAGAGCUCUUUCUUGAUUUUAUGGGGUGUGGUGCAUGGCCGUUCUUAGUUGGUGGAGUGAUUUGUCUGGUUAAUUCCGUUAACGAACGAGACCUUAACCUGCUAACUAGUCAGCCUGUGAUCAACAGGUGGCACUUCUUAGAGGGACUAUGGGUUAUAAGCCCAUGGAAGUUUGAGGCAAUAGCAGGUCUGUGAUGCCCAUAGAUGUUGAAAGCGGCACGCGCGUCAUACUGUCCAGUAACAGCAAGUUUCAUCCUCUCCCGGAAGGGUAGGGGUAAUCUAUAAAACUGGACGUGGUAGGGAUAGAUCUUUGGAAUUAUAGAUCUUGAACGAAGAAUGCCUAGUAAGUGCAAGUCAUCAACUUGUGCUGAUUACGUCCCUGUCCUUUGUACACACCGCCCGUCACUCCUACCGAUUGAGCGAUAUGGUGAACCUCCUGGACUGUGGGGCUCCUCGCGGGCUUCGCGGAAAGUUUAGUAAACCUUAUCGCUUAGAGGAAGGAGAAGUCGUAACAAGGUAGCCGU
RNAcentral lists this ribosomal RNA (1177 nucleotides) under uncultured marine eukaryote. RNAcentral describes it as "SSU rRNA". It matches the Rfam family "Eukaryotic small subunit ribosomal RNA", at positions 576 to 1806 of the family's 1831-position model. The record is from RNAcentral.